RNAcentral lists this long non-coding RNA (30252 nucleotides) under Nicotiana benthamiana. Its description in RNAcentral is "long non-coding RNA (NBEN_LNC010589)". Lineage: Eukaryota; Viridiplantae; Streptophyta; Magnoliopsida; Solanales; Solanaceae. The record is from RNAcentral.
CUUAAUUGUUCACCGGUGACAUUAAAUAUAAUAAAAUAUUUUCAAUAUAAUAAUUGUUAAAUCUAGUGAACAAAGUAUAUAGAGGCAGACUGCCUUGUUUUCAGAUUAAUUUUGGGCAUUGGUUUGAUCACUAAUUUUUUGGAACCUAUACCCGAAUAUAAGAUAGUAAUAUUUAUUAUAAGAUACGUAACAUAUACAUUACUCCCACGGUCCAUUUUAGUUGUUAUAUUUUUCUUUUAUAUAUCCUUUAGGAAAUAUUAAUAAGAAAGGUUUUUUUACUACUAUACCAUUAUCUAUAUUUUCAGGUUUAGGUUGUUUAUACUUUGUAAUCAGUGUUUUAUACAUUUUACAUAAUUUAAUACUAAGGGAAAUUAAAAAUUAAUAAUUAAUAAUGACAUCUUUGAGUUUAAAAAAUGUUAAGUAUUUUGAACUAGUUAUUUUUACUAACCACAACAACUAAAAUGGAAUGGAGGGAGUAGGAAAUUUAGCGUAAGUCAUUACAUACAGGAGAAAGUAAGCAUCCUUCACUUGUCCUCUUGCACUUGGCUUUCUACAUAACAUAAUUCGGAAUUAAAAUGUUAUUUCAAAUCGAUAUCAAUGCCAAAGUAAUAAAAUAUAAGAUAUGUAUCUCGUAUAAUCAUAAUAUAUAAUCUUAAUUUUAUUUGGGAACACAUUUUUUCUUCAAUUGCCGUAAAAUGUUUUCGUACCAAGAGCAGGAAAUAUAUAUUUUGAAACUUUUCAAUUGAUUUUCAGCCUUCCUCGCCCCACUCCCACCUUUGCCGGAAAAAUAAAUUAAAAAAAGAGCAAUUUACAAUUGCUAAUGAAAAAAUAGUCAUAGUUUCAAAAAAAUACUAUUAAAGAUAAAAUUUGAAUAAAAACAUUCUUAAAAAUUCUAAAAAAUUCUAGUAUUUGGAGUUCCAAUUUUUUAUAUAUAAGGUUCAAGUAUAAUGUAUUGAAAUUUUAUAAUACGGUAGAGUUCCAACGUAAGACGUGGGAAGUUUAUAAACAGGAGUUCAAUCAUUCAACAUAUAUAUUAUGCUAGAACUUUUCGUAUAUUAAAGUUUCAACAUAAUAUGCUAAAAGUGUAUUUGUCUGAAUUAUAUAUAAAUAUUUUUGGGAUAUUAUUUUUUGCUCACUAACCAAACAUGAGUUAUCAACUCUUUCAUUCUUUUACCGAUUCGACGAGGGAAUUGAUAUGAUAAAUUAUUGUACAAUCUGUGACUAAUCAGCAAAAUUGUAACAUGAGACAUAUUCCUGGUAUGUGAAUAGCCGAGGAAGCAGACAAUAUUAAUGAAAAUGCAGAUAUUCGAAAGCGGGUGACGAGUGCACGUAAGUCAUCCUUUGAAUUAAUUGAGGAUAAGUUAGCUGGUCAACAUAAGAAAAUUCUGCACGGAAAAAAAUCGAGUUUACACGCGAAGAUUAUGUGUCAAGAUAUAUAGAAUAAGAGUUACAAUUUGACAAAGAGAUACGAAUAACAAAAGAUACAAGCAAGGGCAAAAGAAGAGGCACAAAUAAUUAUUCAAACGAUAUAUCGCUCAUACGUAUUCAAGUCAUUUAGAUCCGCGAAUCAAGGGAAAUAAAUCUGACAAUAUAUAAGAGUGCAGAUGCAAUAUUUAAUGAGCAGUAAACGUUCAAUACGUUAGAGAAUCUGUAUUACUUUCUUUAAUGCACUCUUCAGAUUAUCAGUAACCUGUGUUCUUCUAAAUUAUAGCUUUAAUCACAAAUUCAUUUUUUGUUAAACAAAUUCCGCAACUGAAUUGUGAUCAAGAAAUAUUCUAUUUUCUUGGUUGUUAAGACAAUUGUGGUUCCCAUCUAUAAAAAGAAGACAAUAAUUCAAGAAUCAAAACCCACCACAUAAAUUUCCUCAAACAUAUAGAAAAGUAUAACUUAAUUUGUGAGAUGGCAGAAGUGAAGUUACUUGGUGUUUCGCUCCAGUGGCGGAUCUAGGAAUUCAAGUUUGUGGGUGCUGAAUUUUUUUUGUACAUAAAAUUAAUGGGUGCUUUUGUAGAUUUUUAUACGUUUUCUCAAAUUUUACUCUGAGUCGAGGUUAAUGGGUGCUCGAGCACCCAAAUUUCAUGUAUAGAUCCGCCACUAAUAACUAUCCUGUUUCAUAUUAAAAAAGGGAAAAAAAGACAGUAAACUGGUCAAGCUUAUAUACAAUCGAAAACUCCUACACCUACAAAACUUGACUGAAAACUUGAAGGUAUUUUUCAGAUUUAUUUCUUGAUGAUACUCAUGUAACUUUUAUUGAUCCCAUAUAAAAGUAUUAGUAUAAAAUUUUUUAAUGGGAUAACGAUUUAUUUGAUAAAAAAUUAAGUAAAAUUUACUCUAAAUUAUUAAAUUGUUAAUAAUAAAAUCUCAAUUAGUCCACUAACCAUUACCUCGAUCACCAGGGGCGGAUACAUGCUUCCUCAAGCGGUGUCAUGCGACACCACUUCAUCGAUAAUUUUUACUAAAUAUAUGUAUUAAUAUUGUAUGGAGAUGGAUAAGUAAGAAAAAAAUGACAUCACUUGACAUAAAUUGUAUUUUGGUGUGUUGGUUUUUUUUGCUCUAAGAGGUCAAAGGUUCAAACCGCAACUGACACAUUUUUCGUUUGUAAAUUUGAGAGGGCCUUUGUAGUUAAAAAUUGUGAUAAAGUAAAAUUAAACUCAAAUUCUUUUUUAACUUAUGACUCAACAAAACAAAUAAAUUAAGGUUAUUUCUUGUUUAAAAGUAUGAUAAUCCAAGUAAUAUUUCAAUUCUUCUAUAAAUUUCGACACCACUUACAAAAAUUUCUUCAUAUGCCUUUGUCGAUAACCCGAUACUAAUAAAUCAGUAAAUUAUCGAGUCGCCUCGAUUAAUAAUUAUGGUUCAAUUUUGAACGGCCAUACCCAAACGAAAGCUUAGUUUUUGGGUGAAGUGAUAUAAUUUAUGAUAAUUUCUAUUUAAUUUUUAUUUCUCACCGCUCGGACAAUGUUCGUGUAAUGUUAUGUAGGAAAAAAUAAGGUGCUUAGAUUAUGGACCCAUUUGUCCCUAAAUUAUUUUGUUCUGUUAUGAAAUAGAAGAUUCUUACACUUCUAUUUAAGGUGAAUGUCUUUAAUGUAUCUAAUUAGAGAGAUUUUAGAGUUCUAUCAUAGAAAUCUUAAUUCUUAUUAUGUGGUGGUUAUCUCUUGAGUUCUGGUCUUCUUUUAUAAAGGAAAAAAUUAUGAAGUGUCUUUUUAACCAAGCAACUGCAACUUUUCCUCUUUGAAAAGUCAAUUUUUUGGCUUGAUGCUUCCAUAUUGACUGAAGAUAAUUAAUAAGCACGUCUUAAAAUGUUAGGAAGUGGAAGGUUCAAUUCAUUUAAUAAAAUAUUUAUAUCAGUAGGUACAUAAUAUGUAUUUGCACAAAAGCUUUUUCACUUAAUAGUGAUUAGAUAGUAAUUGGUAUUCUAACUGCAUGUAAGUUUUAUCAUUAGAUUUGUAAUGGACCGGCCAGUCGUUCAUGAGUUACCGCUUCGUUUCCUCCAUUUCUACUUAUUAUUGCCUUGUUCAACUGUAUUAUGUGCUAUCGGGUUGGUUGGCUCGGGUUCGGAGAGGUUUUUGGUAAAGUUUGAGACACGUAGUCUCUUUUGAGUAAGCUUAAGUUCGAAAAGUAAACCGGAUGUUGACUUACGUGUUAGAGGGCUCGGAUGUGAGUUCCGAUGGUAAGGAUAGCUUCAGGGGGUGAUUUGGGACUUCGGAAUGUAAUCGGAAUAUAUUUUGGAGGUCCGUAGUAGAUUUAUGCUUGAAUUGGCGAAAUUGAAAUUUUUGCGUUUUCCGGAUAAUAGGUGAGAUUUUGAUAUAGGGGUCAGAAUGGAAUUCCAUGAGUUGCAGUAGGUCCGAUGUGUCAUUUGGAAGAUGCGUGUAAAAUUUCGGGUCAUUUGGAUGUGGUUUGAUAGACUUUUGAUCGAAAGCAGAAUUUGGAAGAUUUUAGAACUCUUAGGCUUGAAUCCGAUGCCAAUUUGGUGUUUUGAUGUUUUCUUGAGCAUUCCGAAGGUUGGAACAAGUUUGAAUGAUAUUAUGGGAUAUGUUGGCAUUUUUGGUUGAGGUCCCAAGGGCUCCGGAUGAGUUUCGGGUGGUUAAACGGAUCAUUUCAAGUUGAGAAAAAUUGCUGAAAAUCUGUUGUUGAUGUUGUAGACAGUUGGCCUUUGCAUUCGCCAGUAGGCCCUUGCAUUCGCGAAGGGUUAGGAGGUGAGAUUAGAGGAUCCGAGUUCGCGUUUGUGAAGGGCUGGGGUCUUUGAGCUACGCGUUCAUGAGAGGGAAGACGCGUUUGUGAUGGGUGAAUAAGUUGAGUCUUCACAUUCGCGAGAGGGGGGCCGCGUUCAUGAAGAAGGAAAAUUGGUCAACUCAAAUUUGUGCUUCGUGAACGCGAGGCGUUGACCGUGUUCGCGAUGAAGGAUUUUUAAGUGCUGGGCAGAAUGUCCAAAAAACUCAUUUCAGCGAUUUUUAACCUAAGUUCCUUUAUUUUUUAGCAAUUUUGAAGCUUUUUGAAAGGGAUUGAAGAGGGAAUCAAGGGGGAACACUUAGAAGUAAUAUUUGUGGACUUAACACUCAACCCUAAUAUGAUUUCUACCUAAUUAAUCAUGAAAAUUAUGGAAUUUAAGCCUAAACAUUAAAUAACUAGGCUUGUAGUUGGAGACCUAGAAUUUGGAAUUUGAGGGGUCGUUUGUGGUUGGAUUUUGGUGCUUUUGAUAUGAAUGAAUUAGGGGAGUGAUAAUGAGUCUAUAGAUGUGAUUUUUAUCGGAUUCCGAGACAUGGACCAGGGGGUCGGGUUUGGUCAAUUUCGGGAUUUGUGUUGUAAUUUGAUUUCUUUCGAGUGAGCUUUGUUCCUUUAGCUUAUUUUGAUGGUUUUGCAAUGAUUUUGGUUAGAUUUGGAGCAAUCGGAGGCCGAUUCAAGAGGCAAUGACAUCGCGAGCUAGAGUUUGGACCGGAUAGAGGUGAGUAAUGAUUGUAAAUAUUGUCCUGAGGGUAUGAAACCCCGAAUUUUACAUUGUUGUGCUAUAUUAAGGUGAUGUACACACUAGAUAACGAACGUGGGGUCAUGCACCAUUGAGGAUUGUGACUUAGUCCAUCCCGAAUGACUGUUUUACUGUGUAUUUGAUUUAAGACUAUUUGCUAUCAUUAUGUUUUUGGCUGAGCUAUAUUUGGGCCUCGAGCCAACUGUUUUGGACUCUUAGGGGAUUUUUACCGCUAUUUCCUCAUUGUUUGAUUUAAUAUUUGUACUCACACAUGCUAUAUUAUAGUGUUUUCAUAACUCAGCCAUGUUUACUGUGUUUUAACACUUUAAAUGAUAUUUUGGGCUGCACAUCAUAUUUUUACUGUGCCUAGGUGGCUUGUGGAGAUUUCUGACCGAGUAAGGCCGAGGGCCUGUAUUGUGAGGAUUAUUAUAGGAUGGGGCUGCAUGGCGCAAUACUGUUGUACUAAUUAUGAUAAUGAGGCUGAGGGCCUGAAUUGUACUCCAUACGGUGGCUUGAUAUGAGACAGAGAGCCUAGUUGAUUACGCCACGAGAUGGCUUUAUAUUGCGCUUGGGCCGUAAGGGGCCCCUCCCAAAGUCUGUACACCCCUAAUGAGCGUAGAUACCCAGUGUGAUAUGUGAUAUUGCCCGAAGGGCUGAUUCUGUUGAUAUUGUGUCCAAGGGGAUAAUUUUAUGUGCUUUUCUGUUCUUGUUGUUUUAUCAUUUACUUGUUUAACUGGUAAAAGUGGUUUUCACUAGAAUAAGGUGCUUCCUUACAAGUUUCAUUAUUUUAUUGCACUGCAAGGAUAUUGUAAUGGCCCGGCUGGUCGUUGUGCCUAGUAGGAUCCUGUUUCCUUAAUAAGAACUUCCCGUACUUGCUUUAGCUAAUUUACGACCUGCGAGAAUAAUUGAGUUAGGGUUAUGAAGAGUUUUGAGUGGAAUGUGCCCAUAUGAUUUCUUAGGAUUUUCUCAAAAGACUAAAUUUGACUUUGGUCAAUAUUUUGACCAAACAGACCUGAAUUUGUGAUUUAAUGGUCUCGAAGGGUCUGUUAGAAAAUAUAGACCUGGAUGUAUGCCCGGAACCAAAUUCCGAAGUCCCUAGCCCGAGUAAUAAAUUUUUAUUAGAAACUAUUAAUUUGAAGUUUUAAGAAUUUAAAAAAACUAAGUAAUGAUUGAUUUUAUGGGUAUCGAACUCGUAUGUUGGUUCCGAAACGCGGUACAUGUCCAAACUAUUAUUUAAGAGUUGCCUGUAAAUUUGGUGUCAAUCCGAGUAGUUUUAGGGCGUUUUGGUCAGUUGGAGAAAAAUUAAGAACUUGAAGUUCAUAAGUUUGAUUUAUUUGGUUAUUGGGGUGAUUCCUAGAUUCAGUGUUGUUUCCGGUGUUCCGAGGGUUCGAGUAGGCCCGCCUCGUGAUUUCAAACUUGUCGAUAUGUGCCGGAGGGGCACGAGAGCCCCAAACGUCAAUCCGGCGAGGCUCGAGUAAAGUGAAAAAUUUGGAGAAGUGCUGAAGAUUUAUUACUUCUGUCAUAACCGCAUCUGCGGUCCUUGGAUUGCAGAUGCGGUCGUCCUAGCACAGAAGCGGCCCAGGGCAAACCUGGCCAGAACCGUAGAAGCGACUCUCCAGUCGCAAAAGCGGCUCCCUGGCCGCAGAAGUGGCUCGGCAGAUGCGGCCUAGAUACCGCAGAUGCGGUCCCAGCCCUUUGACCCAUUUUCACAGGUGCGGCCGCUUUUUCGCAGAUGUGGUCCCCUAACCGAAGAUGCGAAAAUAGCUGGACAAUGAGGUUCAUUUAAUACGAGCUCAAGACCAUUUUUAUCACAUAUACACUCUUCCAUCGGCGAUUUUAGGAGCUUUGGUGAGUUUAGAUUUAGCGUUAUUUCAGGUGUUUCGAAAGUUCGAGUAGUUCCGUCUCGUGAUUUUGGACUUGCCGGUAUGUUCGGACAGAGGCUGGGUGCCCCGAGCGUCAAUCGGAGGAUGCUCGAGUGAAGUGGAAAAUUUUGAGAAAGGCUAGAGAUUUGCUGCUUAUGUAUUAACCGCAUCUGCGGUUAUUGGACCGCAGGUGCGGGAUCGCAGAUGUUGCCAUUGGUCCGCUGAAGCGGCCCAGGGUAGGCUAGGCAAGGAACUGGAGAUACGGCUCCUCAUCCGUAGAAGCGGCUUCGCAUAUGUGGCCUGGAGACCAUAUGUACGGUCCUAGACUUCUCUCCCCACUUUUUCAGAUGCAGCCAUAUCCUCGUAAAUGCGGUCCCCUGACUGCAGAUGCGGAAAUCGCUAGGCAAUAAGAUUUAUUUAAUAUAGGUCCUAAGCCAUUUUAUCACACUUUUCACUCCUCCUUUGGGCAAUUUGGGAGCUUUUGAGAGAAGGUAUUCACUUAGUAUCUUCAGGUAAGUGUGUGCUACCUAUUUCAGGUUUAAUAUCAUUGCCUUAGGAAGAUUAAACACUAGUAUUAAGGUGAAAUUAUGGGUUAGAGCAAAAACCUAGGGUUUUAACAAAAAUUGGAUUUAAUCACGAAAUUUGUUAUAAAAUGAAUUAGAAAGUAUAUAUUAUUGAUCCUUAGGUUGUAGAUAACAACUUCCUUCGAAAAGUAUUUGAAUCCAAACACGUGGGCCUGGGGUCGAAUUAUAGGAAACUUGUAUUAGGAGUUGAGAAAUUGCUUAAAUAGUUAGAAUUCGAUAUUGUGAGUCUAUAUUGACUAGUUCCUACUUCAUUUAACUAGUUUGUUAUCGUUCGACUCCGAAUUGAGGGUUUGGGCUGGUUCUUGGCAUUGGAAGUAUACUUUGGAGCGACGUAAGUCUCCAAUCUUACCUUGAGGGAAAUGUCCCCAUAAGUAUAAUAAAUGAAAACUUGUCACUAAAUGCAGGGGCUAUGUAGGCACUAGGUGACGAGAGUCCGUGCAUAGUUACUAAUAUGUUAAUUGUCUGGGUAAUCUAGGACCCACAUCAUGCCAUAUUUGUGAAUAUCUCUAUAUUUUCUUGCUUGUGUGAUCUUCCAUGUAAGUUGAUGCUUGAUCCUUGAGACUUAUCUUCUUCACAUGCAACUCGCAUGUAUAGGUUUAUAAACACUGUGUGUCUCAUGAUGGACCUGGUCCAUGACUGCAUUCAUUUGUCAUUCUUCAAAACUUCACUUGAACUUGGACCAACAAAUUUCCCCGUUUUGAUGAUGAUAAACUUUGUGCUUUUACUAAUCAAAGAACCUGUAGGAACUCAGCUUAACCAUCAAUACUUUAACUUAGAAUUUUAACUUAUCAUUAAGCACCAGGUUUAAAUAGGUUUUAAAUACUACAUUAUUCAAAAUAAAUAGUAAAGUAUAAUAUCUCUUCCCUCUUUUGGCAUCAUCGAAAAGUUGCAUAUACAUUUGCAAUCCCAGAUUUAUAUAAUUACUCAUGGCCACUGGGCAACUUCAAGUAAAAACAUGGUUCAAUUAAUCAACAAUCAAUAAACAAAAUUAACUAUUUAGAUAAGAAUCUUCAUAGAAUAAGAGAAAAACCAUUUUCAUUGAUAAGGAUAUGUUUCCACCAAUAAACCACAAGAAGAAAGAAAAACUUCCAAACAUAAGCAACAAAAAAAGAAAAAGUCCAGAAUCUGGGUCAUUAGGGGGGUUCUAGAUGGGUGCAGAAGGUAAGAACUGGACAUCCUAAAGCUUUGACGAACUAGAGGGCUGGGUAUGGAGAGAUUGAGCAUAUUCUGAAGCAUUCCAUCACUCUUCUCCUUUUCCUUUGCUAGAUCAUCUCUAAGGCCAUCUCUCUCAAUUUCCAAUUCAGCAACACGAGCCUACAACCUAGCAAUUUCAGCAUCCUUAGUUCCACAUUCUUUAACUAAAGCCCUAACUUUGCUGUUCACAGGAGUCUUCAAAGAGGAACGAGGUUCAACUACGGUAGCAUUUACUGGAUAGUCACAAGGCAUAAGAGUCCUAACACCAUAGUGUUCCUUGCUUGAGGAUAUCUCCCAUUUAUUUAAAGGCACAUUCAGCCUUUCCAGAAUAGAAGUCAAUAAGAACCCAUAUGGAGUGGCACGAUCUUUGGAGCCAUUAAUGACCCUAUCCAGCAAUUUGACAAUGAAGGUAGACCAAUUUAUCUAUAUUCCUCUCACAUGGCACUCCAUCAGAACCAGGUCCAUGUACUUGGUAGUAUGCCUCCUUUCCUGUCUGGGCAACAGGCAUUCGUUAACAAAUUCAAACAGGACCUUGUGUUCAACCCUCAUCUCACUUUUUUGCACAAAUCUAGCUUCAGGGUCAUCUUCGUUACUUGCAGUAUCAUAAAGAUUUCUGGUAAUUUGGAGAGAUAGUAGGGAGAGAAUCCAGACAAGGCCACCUCUACCUAGUAUAAUCAUCAUAUCCCACACUGGGUAUGUCCAGGAUCUCACUCAAUUUGGGUGCAUCAAACUUCACCUUUACUCCUUUCACCAUGCUAGUGACAACUCUAUUCAUCACUGUGGCAUUGGCAAUAAAAUCAAUCAAUUCCUUUCUGGCCAGCUUUCCAUCCAUUUCAAGGAACAUGUCCUUCCACCGUUGUGCAGCUAGGGCAUCCACCAGUCUUAUUAUUCCUAGCUCAUCCAGGUCUUUCAACAAUCUUCCUUUCAAAUCUUUCUUCUGCCAAAGAUGGAAAACCUAUCUUGCUCCUUCUCAAAUUCGUCCCCUUUUUCUUCUCCACUCUAUUCUUAUUUUUCUUAAGUAAUCUUUGCUUGCUUUCUUUUUACUGCAGAUCUAGUUCUUCUGGCUAAAUAGGGUACAACAGAUACAGGCUCAGAUGAAGACUUCUUGGAAGAAGUCUUGGAACCUUUUGGUUUGGGUGUAGGAACAUUCAAAAUUGUUUCUCUUUCUUGAUGAACCAGUUACAUCUCCUCCUCCUCUUCUUCUGCAGCCUUAGAACUUUCCACAACCUUUGCUUUUCCCUUGUCCUUCUUCUUUUUCUUACUUUCUUCUAGAGCUUUUUGUAAUUCUACUUCACUUUGUUUGACCCUUCUUUUAGUAGCUCUUUCCUUUGGUAAUAAAGGGACAAUAGGCUUUGGAGAUGACACUUUGCUUUUCUUUGUUGACUUAGAAGCAGUUGGAGUCAUUUGUGUGGAAGCCUUGUGUUUCUUUAGAUCAUAACUGGGUCCACCUCUUUUCAGAAUUUCAGCUAAAGUUUCCUCAAUAGAUGAACCAGGUUUAUCUUGUUGUUAGCUCAGAUGAACAAGCCCUUCAGCAGCCUCCCCAGAGCCACUUCCCCUUGACUUGUUGCCACUCUCUUCAACUCCUCCACAGAUAGCAAGAACUUUUUCUUUAUUUUUACCUCUCCUCCUACUUGACUCAGCCCACUUUACAUCUUUUACAAAACAAACCAAAACAAACCUAUUUUCUUUAUUUUCAACUAUAUCAUAAAAUGCCAAACAAGUAUUUACCUCACCAGAGGUUUCUUGAUUUUUGUCAGUGUUAGAAGACCCAUGUUCUUCACCUUCACUAGCAAAAAUAAAAGCUUCUGAUUCAAAGCUGGAGUUAAAUUCUCGAACAGGACUUUCCUUCUUUUGGCUAGCCUGUAAUUUCUCAUUUAUGGCUUUUCUUAGAGACCCGGAAGCCACAGUUUUCUUAGCAAACAUUUCCUGUCUAUGAAAUCUAGGUUUUUGGGAAACACUAGGAUGAUUAGAUGAAGACGCAUUAGAAGGGUAUACUGGUGGGGGAAUGCUUGGAUUAUCUUUCGUCAUGGUCAAUCAUUUUUGGAGAGGAUUUGGAAAUUUUGGAGAGAAAAGAGAUGAUCAGAAGUAGAGAGGGGUUUUUGACGGCUAUGAAAUAAUAAGAAAGGGUGUGGUGAGUAUUCAGAGGUGAUUAGAAUUAAUUGAGGUAAAGGCAGGUUUUACAGGAGUCAAUCAGGAGUCUAAUCAAAGUAAAAUUUUGGUCUCUUUAGUGAUUAUUUGGCAUCACUAUAUGUUAGGCCAGAAUCUCAAUUUUAGAGUUUUAGGAGAACGAAACAGGUUGAAUACUCAGCGGAAAUUUUUUUUGGGAGUUUGAUUAAAGUGGGACUUCUGCUCAUGAUUGGAAAAUUAAUCUUUCUAAUUGUGCAAAGUAUAGAAAACAUAUCGGAACUUUCUCAUGAGCAUAUACUGGUGAACCAGGUUCUUCAAGUAUAACUCUCUUGAACAUGCCUUAAAUGUCAUAAUAGAAAAAUGUUUGUAUGAGAUCAUUGAGUCAUAUAUACAUGUCACAGGAGUAUACUAAUUAAAGUAUGAGACUGAGUAAGAAUUGAUCUAGAUAUUUACACAAAGUUAGAAGUCCUAACCCAAAAAAAAAAAUUCAUGCUUUUUUCAUUUUUAUUUUUUACGCUUUAUUUUUUUUUCUUUGUGCAUUCUGAAUUGGACCUUUCAGGUGAUUUUAAUCAUCCCUAAUUCCAACCCGUUCCUCUCAAAGUUUUCUCUACCCAGUGCUUUAGUGAAGAUGUCAGCUAUUUGUUUAUCAGUAGCACAAAAUUCUAUUGAAAUCAAUCCUUUCUUUUAGUUAUCUCUUAAGAAGUGGUGUCUAACAUCUAUGUGGUUGGUCCUUUUACGAUGAACAAGGUUUUCUGUCAUACUUAUAGCACUAGUAUUAUCACAGAAUAUUGGAGUACAUCCCACUUCAAUUCCAAAAUCUACCAGUUGUUGUUUAAUCUAGAGCAAUUGAGCACAACAAGAAGCAUCAACAACAUACUCAAGUUCAACAAUAGAUGAGGCUACUAAAUUUUUCUUUUUGGUAGCCCAUGACAUAAGAUAUGAACAACGAAAGUGUGCCAUACCUGAGGUGCUCUUUCUUACUACUAGGAAACUUGUAUAAUCAUCAUCAACAUAUCCUACUAGAUUGAUAUUACUACCUUUGGGAUACCAAAGACACAGAUCAGUGGUAGAUUUUAGACAUCUUAGUAUUCUCUUUUGGAUUUUCCUGAAAAAUAGCACAAAGUCCUACACUAAAAACAAUGUCAGGUCUGCUGGUGGUAAGAUACAAAAGUGAACAUAUCAUACCCCUAUGCAAUUUUUGAUCAACUGAUGAACCAGGUUCAUCAACAUCUAAUUGAGUGGCAGUUGCAAUAGGUGCGUCUAUUUCUUUAGAAUCUUUCAUUUUAAACUUUUUGGUUAAUUUUUUUGUAUACUUAUGCUGAUGGAUCAUGGUUACAUUUGGACUUUGUUUGAUCUGCAAGUCUAAGAAGAAAUAAAGCUCACCCAUCAUGCUCAUUUCAAAUUCACUCCCCGUUAGUUUUGCAAACUCCUUACUCAACUUAUGAGUAGUGGCCCCAAAUAUAAUGUUAUCAACGUAUAUUUGCACAACAAGAAGGUCAACCUUUUUCACUUAAGAACAAGGCGUUGUCAAUUUUACCUCUUUUGUAACCAUGUUCUAGUAGGAAUUUAGAUAGCCGUUCAUACUAAGCUCUUGGGGCCUUCUUGAGCCCAUAUAGAGCCUUGUUUAAUUUAUACACAUGCUCAACAUAUUCCCUGCUUUAAAACCCUAGGGGUUGUUUUACAAAUACUUCUUCCUUUAGGUAGCCAUUCAAGAAGGCACUUUUGACAUCCAUCUGAUGGAAAUUAAAUUCCAUAUGUGAUGCAAAGGCUAUGAAGAGUCUGAUUGGAUCUAGUCUUACAACUAGAGCAGAUGUUUUAUCGUAGUCAAUGCCCUCAUCUUGGCUAUAUCCUUGAAAACCCAGCCAUGCCUUGUUUCUCAUAAUUGUUCCAUCUUCAUCAAGUUUGUUCCUAAGACCUGUUUUAUGCCAAUGACUGAUCUGUCCUUGGGUCUUGGAACAAGAUGUCAAACUUUACUUCUUUCAAAUUGGUUGAGUUCAUCCUGCAUUGCAUUCACCCAAUCUGCAUCCUGCAAAGCUUCAACAACAUUUUUAGGUUCAAUAAUAAAUAGGAAAGCAUCAAAAGCACAUAGAUUCUUCAGUUGUGAUGUAGUUUUGAUUUCUGAUGUUAGAUUAGUGAUAAUAUUCUCAAUAGGAUGAGAAAUUUGAUACUUGUGAGGUUUCACAACCAACUGGUUUCUGCUAGAUAUUUCUCCCAUGUGCUGUUACUAAGGAACAAGUUCCUUUUGGAGGUUUGAUGCAAUUUCUUGUUGAUAAGUUCCCCAUGUUAGGUUACCCUUAUUAAAGGACCUAUUCCAUUACCUGUUCCUUUUUUUAUUCCACUUUGCAUUGUGCGGGGGAUUCGGUAUCUUUACCAGUCCAAUGGCUUCAUCUUCAUGUUCCUGUCUCUCAGAAAGAAUUUUAGUUUCAUCAAAUACAACAUGUAUACUCUCUUCUACACAAAGAGCCCUUUUAUUACACACUUUAUAUGCUCUUUUAUGGGAAGAAUACUCCCUCAUCACUUCUAGGAUCAAACUUACCAAUGGUGUCCUUUCCAUUAUUGUGCACAUAGCACUUGCAACCAAAUGUCCUAAGAUGAGAUAUGUUUGAUUUUCUCCCUUUAAGUAACUCAUGGGGAGUUUUUUUAACCAAAGGUCUCAUUAUACAUCUAUUGAGUAUGUAAUAUGCAAUGUUUAUUGCCUUUGCCCAAAAGCUGUAAGGCAAUUUACUAGAAAGCAACAUGGUUCUGGCCAUUUCCUCAAGAGUCUUAUUCUCCUUUCAAGUACUCUAUUUUUUUAGGAGUCCUAGGGGCAGAGAAAUUAUGAUAUGUACCAUUUUCAUCACAGAUCUCUUCAAACUUAGAAUUUUCAAAUUCAGUUCCAUGUUCAAACCUAAUGGAUGCUAGUUGAUUUCCUAACUAUUUCUAAGUUUUUUCUAACAAAUGUAAUAAACAUGUCAAAUGCUUCAUCUUUGGAAGUUAGAAAUAGAACCCAGGUAAAUCUAGAGUAACCAUCAACAAGAACCAUUACAUAUUUCUUUCCACCUCUGUUUAUGGUUCUCCUUGGAAUAUAUAGAUCCAUACGGAUUAGUUCCAACGACUUAGUUGUACUUACCAUUUUCUUGCUUUUGAAGGAUGAUCUUACCUACUUCCCUCUUGCACAUGCCUCACAAACUUUGUCUUUCUUCAACUUGAUAUUAGGUAAUCUUGUUACCAAAUCCUUAUAUACUAAUUUGUUUAGGUUAUGUAGACUUGCAUGACCAAGUCUUUUGUGCCAUAGGAUGAGAUUAUUAUCCAGCACACUUAGAUAAGUUAGUUCAUUUUCUAAGAGAGCGGAGAAAUUUACAAUGUAAAUAUUGUUAACUCUGUUUUCCUGCAAAACAAUCUUGUUAGUGGUAAGGUUAAUAACAAAACAUUUGGAGGAGGUAAAAGCCACAAGGUUUCCUGUCACACAAUUGUGACACAGUGAUCACGCUAUAUUUCAAGCCAUCUAUUAAUUAGACAUUCUGAAUGGAGUGAAAGAAUGUAUUACCUACCUUUCCAUUCCUAAUAAACUCACCUUUCUUCCCAUUCCCAAAGGAGACAUUGCCUCUUUUUAAGUCCUCAAGUGAAAGGAACUGUUCCUUGCUCCCAGUCAUAUGUUUUGAGCAACCACUAUCCAUAUACCAUAUUUGGCUACUUCCUUUCACUUGGACCUGCAAAAAGAAAUCAGGGGUUAGUCUUAGGAACCCAAACUAGUUUGGGUCCCUAUGUUUUGAGCAACCACUAUCCAUAUACCAUAUUUGGCUACUUCCUUUCACUUGGACCUGCAAAAAGAAAUCAGGGGUUAUUCUUAGAAUACAAACAAGUUUGGGCCCCUUUCUAUAGGCAAAAGGAUGAAUCAGAUUCCCUUUUUCCCACCCAGGCAGCUUACUUUUCUCUUGAAUAAAAGCUUUGUUCUUUUGACUGGCCUUUUCUUUAGCAUUACACUCACUAUUGUUAUGGUCAGUUUUGCUACAAUGUGUGCAGAUUUUAUUUUUAGGAAAUGUGAGGUACUUUCUUUUAGGGUCCCACUUUGGUCUUUGAGUCUCAAAUACAACUCCUCUUUUGUUGCUACUAUGAUGCUUUUGCAGCUAAGAGAGUGCAUCAGAAGCGGAUUUCCACUUGCAAGUUCUAUCUACUUCAUGUUUCACCUUUCCUAGAUCUUCCUUUAGGACUUUGAUGAAUUCAUCUUUCUAGUACAAUUCAUCUUUAAUUUUCCCCAAAUUUUCUUCUAGAGUGAGAUGUGUGUGAUGAGCUUUCUUCUUUCGUGUUCCUACUUUCUGGUUUAAGCUUUCAGAUCUAAGUUCUAGGACACUAUUAUCAAGCUCAAGAACCUAGUUCUAGCAUUUGUAUUAUCACUCUCAUUAGUCUUAGACUCUAGACUCUUGCAUUUUGCUUUUAGGAUCACACAUCGUAGGCAGAACUUCCUUCCCAUUGUUAAUUAUCUCAGACUCAUCAAUGAAGUCUAGUAAUAGCUCAUCCAACCUUUCUUUAGAAAAACAUUUAAUCUUGUCUUUGAGAUGAAGAGUACUUACCUCUUGUUCAUCAUCUGAUUCUACAAUAGCCAUCAGUGCUUGCUCUUCAUUAGCUUAAUCUUUGAGUCUUCAUCUGAGGUUUCUCCCCACGCAACAACCAUAACCUUGUUAAACAUUUGUUCCUUUUUGGUUGAACCUCUUCCUUCUUCCUGCUCCUUCUUUCAGCCCUCUCUUUCUUCCACUCAAUUUCCCAUUGAGGGAAGUUCUUGAUCGUGUGAUCAGUUUUACCACACUUGAAGAAACCCUCAUUGGUCUAGUUCUCAAGAGCUCUUGGCUUGUUGAAGAUGUACUUAUUGAAUAACCCUUUCCUCCCAUUAGGUAACUUUUGAAUCUCGAGUGGUUAUAGUCAUCUCAUCAUCUUCCAAAUCUGAACCUUCAGCAAUUCUGAGAGCUAAGCUUCUCUCCUUCUUGGGUGUAUCCAUCUUCAUGGUUUGCCUUCUCAUUUCAUAAUAAGUAAGAUUUUCAAUCAGUUCAUCUAAUCUGAGAGUAGCAAUAUUCUUGGAUUCAUGAAUGGCAGUGAUUUUGUUUUCCUAUGUGACUGGUAGAACCCUUUUCAGAAUUUUCUCAACUUUAUCUUCUUCCAGAGUGACCCUUCCAAGAGACUUGAGUUCAUUUGUCAAUGUAGUGAACCUAGUAUACAUCUCUUGGAUAGUUUCUCCUUCUUUCAUAGUAAAUUUAUCAUAUUGAGAAUACAAUAGUGUUUCUUUUGAUCUUUUCACUUGAGGUGUUUCUUCGUGGGUCAUUUGCAAAGUGUCCCAUAUCUCCUUAGCAGUAGUACAACUUUGGAUCCUAAUGUACUCAUCUGGACUUAGUCCACGCACAAGCCAUUUCUUGGCCUUAGCAGUUUUCUCCCACUUUUUUAGGUCUUCAGCAGUGUAGUCAACUCUUGUCUUUAGUACUUCCACUCCUUCCUCAUUAUUCUUUGUAGUUUCCAAGGGGCCAUCAGUGACUAUGUCCCAGAGUUCAUAGUAAUCUCCAAUGAUAUGAUCUCUCAUCCUGUUUUUCCACCAAGAAUAGUAUUGUCCAUUAAAAAUUGAAGGUCUGGCAGUAGAUUGUCCUUCCUAGUUUCCAGGUGGUGCACUCAUGUUGAUCUUUUCCUAAGGUGUUAGCCUCUUCAAGGAUAACCUGUUAUGAUACCAAUUGAAGUUCUUAACGUCAAUACCACACAAGAGGUAGAGUGAUUUAUGUUGUACCCAAUUUUUCAAUCUAGAAGAACCUGGUCCUUUUAGGUGUUCUAACUACUAUUAUUGCGGAUUUAAAAGUACAGAAAAUAAAGAACACAGAGAUUUUUACGUAGAAAACACCUGGCUAAAAAGGUGAAAAAACCACGACCUACUACUCAGUAGGAUUUUCCCAAAAAUCCACAAAAAUCACUAAUCCAAAACAGCAUUUACAAAAACUCUUUGUAAUCCUAAGGAUUAACACUAAUCCCAGUCUGGCACAUAGCUUCAACUGUGAUGACACUUUCAAGUCAACUCUAACUUGAAUACUCAAAGUACCUAAUACAACUGCUUCUAUGAAAGCUAGAAAGGUACAACUUUAAACCACCUACAGCAAUUGAUCUACAAUAAGAAUAAACACAAUGGAGUUGGUUCUUCUAUCUCGUCCAAGUAGCUUCAGGAAUGCACACUCAAAUCUCACAUAAAUUGCUUGCAAAAUUGCCUCACCUUUUUUCUCUCAAUUUAGUUUCACUUCUGCAUUUGUGCAAUACCUAUAAAGAGAAAACUCACAGUGAUUUAUUGAGUUAGUAAUUAGAGUUUGAUUGAGACUCAAUUGCUGAUAUUCCAUCAAAGUUAAGUCCUUGAACAAUACAAAUUCCAAACUUAUCCUUUAUCCGGAUUGUGUUCUCUUCCUAGAAGGAGACCUCCUCUCCUCAUUCAAUAUGCAACUUUUUCGAUCAGUUUAGAAGAUAUUGAUGCUUGAUCCUUGAGACUCAUCUUCUUCACGUGCAACUCACAUAUAUAGGUUGAUAAACAUUGUGUCUCUCAUGAUGGACCUAGUCCAUGACUGCAUUCAUUUGUCAUUCUUCAAAACUUCACUUGAACUUGGGCCAACACAUUAUAUCAGAUAGAGGCCCUCGGUUCACUUCCCAUUUCGGGAGAGCUGGUCAGAGUGAGUUAGGGACUCAUGUAGAGCUCAGCACAACGUUCAAUUCUUAGACCGACAGACAGUCGGAGUGGACAAUUCAGAUUUUAGAGGAUAUUAUUUGGGCAUGUGUAAUUGACUUUGGAGGGCAGUAGGAUCAGUUCUUGCCUUUAGUAGAGUUUACAUAUAAUAACAGCUACCAGUCUAGCAUAGAGAUGGCUGUAUUCGAGGCGUUAUGUGGCCGACGUUGUCGUUCUCUUAUCGGGUUGUUUCAGCCCAGUAAGGCUAAUUUAUACGGUACAAAUUUUGUAUAGGAUGCCUUGGAUAAGAAAAAGUUGAUUCAAGAAAGGCGUCACAUAGAUCAAUCAAGAUAGAAGAGUUAUACAGAUCAGAAGGCGCAUGAUGUAUCAUUUAAGGUUAGCAAGAAGGUUCUCUUGAAAGUCUCACCAAUGAAGGUCAAUAUGAGGUUCGGGAAGAAGGCUAAGUUUAGCCCAAGGUUUAUUAGUCCAUUUGAGGUGUUGAGGCGAUUUGGGUAGGUUGCCUAUGAGCUUGCUUUAUCCCCAAGUUUAUCGGGAGUUCAUCCAUUUUUUCAUGUAUCGAUGCUUUGGAAGUAUCAUGUCGAUUUAUCCCAUAUGUUGGACAUUAGUACUAUUAAUAUGGAUGAGAUUUUGGUUGAUAAGGAGGAGCCAAUUGCCAUUAUUGAUAGACAUGAUCAUCAGUUGAGGUCCAAGAGGAUUUCUAAGGUGAGGGUCAAGUGGAGGGGCCAACAAGUCGAGGAGGCAACCUGGGAGGCUGAGGAGGACAUGCAGAGAAGAUAUCCCCAUUUAUUCAGCAGUUUAGGUACUUUUAUAUAUCCGUUCGAGGAUGAACAUUUGUUUAAGAGGUGGAGAAUGUAAUGACCCGAUUGGUCGUUUUGCCUUGUAGAAUGCGUUCCCUUUACUUGAUUUAGCUAAUUCGCGACCUCCGGGAAUAGUUGGUUUGGGGUUUAGAAGAGCUUUGAGUGAAAUGUGUCCAUCUGAUUCAUUAGGAUUUUCCCAAUAGUCUAAGUUUGACUUUUGUCAACAUAUUGAUCAAAUGGACCCGGAUUCGUGAUUUGAUGGGCCCAUAGGAUCCGUGGAAAAAUUGAGACAUGGGCGUAUGCCUGAAAUCCAAUUUUGAGGUCCCUAACCCGAGUAAUAAAUUUUUAUUAGAAAUUGUUAAUUUGAUUUUUUAAGAAUUUAAAGAAACUAAGUAAUUAUUGAUUUCAUGGGUAUAAGGCUCGUAUGUUGGUUUGGAAGCCCGGUAUAGGUCUGAAAUAUCAUUUAUGACUUUCUUGUAAAACUUGGUGUCAAUCCGAGUAGUUUUGGAGAAUUUUAGCUCGUUAGGGGAAAAUAAAAAACUUGAAGUUCAUAAGUUUGAUUCAUUUGGUUUUAGUGGGAUGAUUUCUAGAUUUAGCGUUGUUUCAGGUGUUCCGAAGGGUCGAAUAGCUCCGUCGCGUAAUUUUAGACUUGCCGGUAUGUUCGGGCAGGGCCCGAGAGCCCCGUGCGUCAAUCGGACGAGGCUCGAGCGAAGUAUAAAAAUUUGACAAAGGCCAAAGAUUUGCUUCCUCCAUCAUCACCGCAUCUACGGUUAUUGGACACAUAUAUAGUCCUCUCAUGGCAGAAGCGGGCCAGGCCAGGAACCAUAGAUGCGGCUCCCUAGCCGCAGAUGCGGACUGGAGACCGCAGAUGUGGUCCCAUCUUUCUCUCCCCACUUUCGUAGAUGCGACCAUAUCCUCGCAGAUGUGGGACCGCAGAUGCGGUCCCUUAGCCGCAGAUGCAAAAAUUACCGGGCAGUAAGGUUCAUUUAAUACAGGUUCUAUGCCAUUUUAUUACAUUUUUCUCUCUUCCUUUGGGCGAUUAGGGAGCUUUUGAGAGAAGGUCUUCACUUAGCAUCUUGAGGUAAGUGUGUGCUAUCUUUUUCUAGUUUAAUAUCAUUGUCUUAGGAAUAUUAAACACUAGUAUUAAGGUGAAAUCAUAGGGUUAGAGCAAAAACCUAGGUUUUUAACAAAAUUUUGAUUUAACCACGAAAUAUGUUAUCAAAUAAAUUAGAAACCAUAUAUUAUUGAUCCGUAAGUUAUAGAGAACAACUUCCUUCGAAAAAUUUUGGAAUCCGGUCACAUGGGCCACGGUUGGAUUUUAGGAAACUUGUGUUAGGAGUUGAGAAAACGCCUAAAUAGUUAGAAUUCGAUUUUGUGAGUCUAUAUUAACUAUUCCUACUUAUUUUAACUAGUUUGGGAUCUUUCGGCUCCGAAUUGAGGGUUUUGGCUCGUUCUUGGAAUUGGAAGUAUUUGGAGCGAGGUAAGUCUCCAUUCUUUCCUUGUAUGAGGGAAAUGCCCCCAUAGGUAUAAUAAUUGAAAAUUGUCACUAAAUACGUGACGAGGUGACGAGAGUCCGUGCGUAGCUACUAUUAUGUUAAUUGUCAGGGUAGUCUACGACCCACAUCAUGCCAUAUUUGUGAAUAUCUCUAUAUUUUCUUGCUCGUGUGAUCACUAUGGAUAUGCUAGAGACUUCAAAAACGAAUAAGAGCGAACAUGUAUACUCGUGGAACCCUUGAAUGAAUUUAUUUGAAUGUAAAUGCGCCUUCGUGUGUAUUCUUGACAUAUCUUGUUAUUUGUGGAUCCGACCGAUCACCUCGGUAUAAAUAGAUGCAUCUAUGGUUCAAGCCGUUCGACCCUCGACAAUGCACAAUUUAUUUUAUGUUGGAUCGGGCUGUCGAGCUCAGCAUAAUGUGCGCAUGAUAUUUGUGUGGAGACUUAUACUUGAUUUUUUUUUUGCUAAUAUUUCAAAAUGUAAAUAGCUAACUGAAAUAUUGUCAAGAACAUGGAUUUUAUCUCUCGUCAUAAACUGUUGAAUUUUGGUGACGUUGUGCGUAGCGCUUCAUUAUAUUAUUUGGUCCUAGUAAGUAUCAAAUCGACCUUCCGUCUCUACUUCUUCGAGAUUAGACGAGAUACUUACUGGGUACAUAUUAUUUAUCUACUCAUACUACACUUCAGUACUUAAUUUUACAAGAUCUGAGGCUGGUACAUCUUGCUAUCAGUCUGGUGCGCGCCCCUGACUUAUCGAUCGAGACUUCCACAGUGAGUUGCUCGCUCCUUAUGUCGUUCAGCAACCAGAUGGAGUCUUUGCUUAUCUUUGCUGUCUAUUUUAUCUCAGACAGUAGAACAGAGUUAUUCUUUUAUUCAUUCUACUAGUUUUUCAUUACUUGUGACACCAUCUCUUGACACUUACAUUAGUAUACAUUUAUUUUUGGGGUUGUAUAAUCACUUGAUACAUUAUUGAUCGUUUCUGGACUUAACUUUAAAUUUGAGAAUCUAUUACCCUUAUUUUUGGUAAAAAUAAAAUGAGAAUUUAAAUUAAUCUUUUCGCACUAGCUUCCCUGAUGAUGGUGUCGGACGCCAUCAUGACCUAUUGUUGAAAUGGGUCGUGAUAAAUUUUAUACUGCCUAUGUGUAGCAUCUUGUUGUAUUUUUACGUGUUUUUUUAUCACUCAGUCUUCGUUUAUUGUUAUUACUCACUGAGUUGACGUACUCACUUUACUCUGUGCACCAUGUGUGCAGAUUCAGAAGCUUCGGGCCCUGCUAGCGAGGGUUGAUUAUUUUUAGCAAACUUUGUGGAGUUCACUAGGUAGCUACUUUGUUCGCAACCCAGUAUUUCUCCCUUCUAUCUUAUUUUCUGUUUCUAGUUCUAUAGUAGACUACAUAAACUCUAUUAGACUCUUACACUCAUGUUUAGAUGCUCAUGACCGGUGAUAUCCUAAUGUCUGGCUGUGUUUGUUUCCACCGUUGAUAUAUUUCGCUCUAUUUUGGAAUUUAUCCUUAUUAAUAACUUGAUUAUGAAUCAUUAUAUUUGUUAAUUGAAUUCGAAAUUUGAAUCGGUUGACCUUGUUUUCAUGAGAGGCGCCUUCAUGAUCGGGUCUGUAUUUAGGAUCGUGACAAAAUUGAUGCUUCACGUUGAGGUCACUUUGGAUUAAACUUCGGAUGCCAAUUCUUGAUUUUCAAAAUAUAUUUUUACACCAACAUAAAACUUAAACACAAUCUGAGAAUUCUUCAUCGGCUUUAAACUCUGUCGCUUAUAUAUGCCAAAGAGUGUUUUCUAAAUAUUCUCUAAUUAAACAAACGAAAUAAGAAAUUCAAAAGAAUUAAGUUUUUCAUUGUUAAAUACAGAUCUGGAGAUAUUUACAAUUGGAGAUGAUAAUAAAAAAACCGCAUUCAGUGAAAUAGAGCAUGCUUGUGGGCGUUUGCACAUAAGAAUUGCAAAAAUUUUUAAAAAAUUAAAUAAAAAUGAUAUUUGAAAAUUAGAAUUGUGCUUGGACAUGAAUACAAUUUUGGAUUGUUUUGAAGUUUUGUGAGUAAUCUAAUUGAAAAUUUUGGAAAGUAGAUUUUAAAAGUUUUAAAAUUUUUGAAAAAUUCCAAAAGUCAUUUUCAAGUAAAAAUUAAAAGUUAAUGACCAAACAAUAUUUUAAAAAAAAUAAAAAAAAAAUUAAAAAAAAAGGAACAAAUUCUUAUGUCAAAGCAAGCUCUUAAAUACUAACAAAAUGCAUGGUUCAAAUGUUGGAUGAAGAGCUAUCGGUAUAUGGCAAUUGUAAGCUAAGAUUCCUUAUACUCUUGUAAAUCUCCUCUCCAAGCAAAACACCCUUACCUAGUCUUUUUGUUUUCUUGUCGUGAUUCAAUUUAGGAUUGUAAUCGGUGUUAGGAGUAAGUACUUCUAAAUAAGCUUUAUGGAUAAUUCUAUAAAAAAUCAAACAGAGUUUUCUUUAUUUUUGGACCAUCCUAAAAGUUAUUUUGUCUUAAAUCAACAACCAAACAUCCUAAUAUCAUAUCAAAUAAUUUACAAUUUAUCAAUUAAUCAAUACAAGUCUCUACCAUAAUUAAACCACAACUAACCACUAAAAGCACUAAUUUAUCUCACGCUUUGAUAAAUGAGAACGAUACCCAACACAAGACUAAAGAAUACGUAUGACACUAAAAACAAUGACUAUGGAGCGACUAUAAGAGUUCAAUGAAAAGGCCAUAACAAUAAGUAAAAUCUCUGUCCAUGCGAACAAGUGCGAGGCUUACCGAGAAAUAUCAACAUGUGCGCUCUAAUAAAUGAAAUCCUUGCAUGCGCCAACUGCUGUCUCUGUAAAAAAAAUUAGCAGAGAAUGAGUCGCUAGCUCAGUGAGUAAUAACAUUUAACUACAAAUGUUUUUAUAUUGGGACAAGUCAGAAACAUACUCGUAUCUCAAAGAGAAUAAUAUAAAAAUGUCAUUUCAGAAACAAUAAAUAAUUUUCAGUCUCACCACACUUUUCUUGUAGUAAAAUAUAAUUAACAUUUCAGUAAUAAGCUCGGUAACCAUAGUAUAUUAUCAUUAUUCACAUUUUGGGAGGUUUCAAUGAACGGAUCACGUAAUCGGUAUAAUUGUGGACUUGUUUGCAUGUAGUCAAAUAUAACGGUAGUCCCUACUUGAGAGAAAUCGGUAACGGUAUGGUAGUUCUACCUUUCCACUAGCGAGGGCUACAACGGUAAUCGGUAAUUACAAGGUGAAUCAGGUCUAACGAACUCGCCGUUAGCUACGGUAUCCUUCAAUGCCUACUCCCAUUUAUACUUGUCUAUGUAAUCUGUAUAUGCUCAUAGAAACUAUCUUAAAACAAUAUUGGGCAUUUCAAUUCUUAUCAAAUCAUAUAAUUUCCUUUGAUAACAGUAAAUUCAAGUAACGGUCAAACAGAUCUAGCUUUAACAAAAAUAUUGAAAACCACGGUAUUCAUCUCAAAUAACUAUUUCGGUAUCAUACCGAGUAAAAGACUUGUCCCAUAUGCAAAUCAAAAUAAUCAGAAACAUAUUCAUAUUAAAAAUCAUGUGUAAAUCAUGCAAGUUAUGAAAACAUAAAUUACCGUAAGAUUACUACUCACAGUACUCGUGCCGAAAUACCAACUGCUUCACCUCAAGCAACUCGUACAAAUUCCUCCAAUCAAUCUAUGAUUACAUAAUAUCAUCUCAUGUUACUUUUGUUUUUUAGGCUAAUUCAUAACUAUUUUAGAAUACUCCAAUCCUCCAUGUUUUAUACUUUACCAUCAAUUCGCUGAAUUAUAUUUACCCAUGCUAUGAGUAAUUUAAAUUAGUCCAAAAUCUUAUAAGUAAAAAUAUAUUUAUAAGAUUUAAUCCCUUUACUGUUCAAUUUCAUUAAUUCUGUGCAUAAAUUGAAACUGAAAUAACUUUACUGUCCAUAAUAUCCCUUCUUAAUUAGUACCUUUCUUGUGUACUUAAUACUAGAUUCAUAACAUUCAAGUCCAAAUUCACUAUGGUUAUUACAAUACAGUUAAACACCAAAACUCAAUCCUUGUACCCUAACUUAAUUUACACCUAACAAAAAUCACAUAUAAUAAGACUAGUUUAAGUACAAAUACAUCAAUACCCUUCUUCUUCUAAGUGAAUUUAUCCUAUAAUAACAUUGACCAACUUUUAAUUGCAUAAUUUGUCUAGAAUAACUCUAAUUGAUUUUAAAUUUCUUAUAUAUUGUAUAACCUUUCAAAUAUAUGAAUUGAGAUAAAAGAAUUACUAGGAGAAAAGAACUUAGAUGAGAAAUUCGAAUAUUACUCGUAAGAACCAAUGUGUAUUUAAAUUUUUUCAAAAUUUCGUUCUAGCCUCUUUCUUCUUCUCCCUUUCUUUCCUUCUUUUUUUUUUCUUGUUUUGUUUCUGAAGCUUCUGCUUCAUUGGAAUUGGCAACCCUUUAUUUUCUUUUAGCAAAUGGGCUAUGGCCCUUUUGCCUUACUUAUCCUUUUUUUUAAAAGUUAUUUUUUUUUUUUUAUUAUUAUUAUUAUUAUUAUUAUUAUUAUUAUUAUCAAAAAUAUACUCUUAUUUAAAAAUAUAGAUUAUUAUAUCCUCCCCACCUUAUGAAAUUCGGUCCUCGAAUUUAACUCAAGUACGUACCUACCUGUAGACUGAAAUAAAUAGGGGUACCUGACUCGCAUAGUGUCUUCUAUUUCCCAAGUAGCUUCUUCAAUCGUAUGAUUUUUCAUAAGACUUUCACGAACACGAAUUCUUUUGACCGUAGUUUUCUUAUUUGUCUAUCAAUAAUAGCUAUUGGCUCCUCUUAGUAAGACAACUUCUCAUCGAGUUGUAUAGUCAGUGCUUCAAUCACAUGAGAUGAGUCUGGAUUAAUAAAUGAUAACUCAGGAGGAAGUUCCAAACGAUAAUCCACCGCUCUCACUCGGUCUAAUAUCUCAUAUAGUCCUAUGAACAUUGGGCUCAACUUGCCUUUUUUCCCAAACCGUAUCACACUUUUCAUAGGGGAGACUCGUAGGAACACUUUCACCCCAAUUGUGAACACUAAAUAUCUUCUUCUCUUAUAAGUAUAAGACUUUUGUCUACUUUGAGCUGCAAGCAAUCUUUGUCUGAUCAACUGGACCAUGUCCAUAGCUUCUUGUACUAGGUUGUGUUCCAAUAAGUUAGUCUCACCAUCUUCAAAUCAUCUGAUAGGAGAAUGACAUCUUCUACCAUACAAUGCUUCAUAGGUGCCAUUUGAAUAUUGUUCUGGAAGCUAUUGUUGUAAGCAAAUUCAGCUAUCGAUAGAUAAGUGUCCCAACUACCUCCAAACUCAAGAAUACAAGCUCUCAAUAUAUCCUCCAAGACCUAUAUAGUACGUUCAGACUGCCCGCCUGUAUGUGGAUGAAAUAUGGUACUAAGAUCUACUCGUAUACCCAAUACUUCUUGAAAAGAUUUACAAAAGUGUGAAGUGAACUGUGAUCCUCUAUGAGAUAUGGUGGAUAUUGGAACUCCGUGAAGUCGGACAAUUUUAUUCAUAAAUAUGUGUGCAUACCUAACUCCACCAUAUGUAGUCUUCCCUGGCAAAAAAUAUGCUGAUUUCGUCAGUCGAUCUACAAUCACCCAUACCGAGUCAUAACCUCUAAGGGUUCGUGGUAUCCCGGUGACAUAAUCAAUAGUAACUAUUUCCUAUUUCCGUUAUGAAAUCUCAAUUUGUUGUAGUAGUCCUGCGGGUCGCUGAUGCUCAGCCUUGACCUACUGAUAAGUCAAAUAACUAGAAACAAAGUUAACAACAUCGUUCUUCAUACCUUCCCACCAAUAAAAUUUCUUCAUGUCAUGGUACAUAUUUGUGGAUCCAGGAUGUAUAGUAUAUUUAGAGUUGUGAUCUUCUUUAAGAAUAGCAUGUCUCAACCCAUCUACGUCUGCUACACAUAGUUUGUCACCUAUUCAAAGAACACCAUCACUUUCAACAAUCAUAUCCUUGCUUUUACCAGCUAAGGCCUCAUAUCUGUAUUUGCAUAAUCAGUCAUCCUCCUAUUGGAUGGCCUUAAUAAGCUCAACAAAUGAAGACUUAGCCUGAGCACAAGCCAACAAUGCCUCUGAAUUUCCGACACUAAAUCUGAUACUUGUAUCUUCUAGUCUCUGAAUAUCUCUUCCCAAAAGUCUCUUUGCAGGGGCUAUAUGUGCCAAGCACCCCAUGUAUUUUCUACUCAUGCAUCAGCCACCAUAUCAGCAUUUCCAGGAUGCAAAAUAGAACAAUCAUAGUCUUUGAGUAGUUCCAUCCAACAACGCUACCGGAGAUUUAUAUCUCUCUGCUGAAAGAUAUACUUCAGACUUUUAUGGUCAGUAUACACCUCACAAGUUUUUCCAUAUAGAUAAUGUCUCCAAAUUUUUAGAACAAAUACCACUGCAGCCAUCUCCAAAUCAUGUGUAGGAUAGUUUUGCUCGUGCUUUUUCAAUUGUCUCGAAGCAUAUAAAAUAACACAACCAUUUUGCAUGAGAACACAUCCUAAUCACACCCUCGAGGCGUCACAAAAUACUGAAAAUCCUCUAGAACCUAAUAGUAAGACUAAUAUUGGUGCAGUUGUCAGACACAUUUUAAGUUUCUGAAAGCUUUGCUCACAUUCCUCCGUCCACUGGAACAUUGCAUUUUUCUAUGUUAGCUAGGUCAGCGGUGCUGCUAUUCUAGAGAAAUCCUGGACAAAAUGCCUGUAAUAGCCUACUAAACCUAAAAAGCUGCGAAUCUCUGUAGGAGAAAUAGGUCUGGCGCCAUUUCUACACAACUUCGAUCUUCUUAGGAUCUACCAUAAUUUCAUAUUUGGAUAGAAGAUGUCCCCUAAAAUACUACCGAGUCUAGCCAGAAUUCACACUUCGAGAACUUAGCAUAAAGCUGAUGUUCUCGCAAUGUCUGCAACACAGUUUUGAGAUGAUUCUCGUGUUCUCCUUAGGUACGGGAAUAUAUCAGGAUAUCAUCAAUAAAUACUAUUACAAAUCUGUCCAGAAAUGGCUUGAGCACCCUAUUCAUUAAAUCCAUGAAUUUGUUAGUCCGAAAGGCAACAUAAGAAACUCAUAGGGCCAGUAUAGAGUCCUGAAAGAAGUCUUAGAAAUAUCUUCAUCUUUGAUUUUAUGUUGAUGAUAACCAGAAUGGAGGUGAAUCUUUGAAAAGUGGGCAGCUCCUUGUAACUGAUCGAAUAUGUCAUCUAUACAAGGCAAAGGAUAUUUAUUGCGUAUUGUUAUCUUGUUCAACUACCUGUAGUCAAUGCACAUUCUCAGGGAUUUGUCUUUCUUCUUUACGAACAAUGGUGGUGCACCCCAUGGUGAUACACUAGGUCUAAUAAAACCCCUAUCUAACAAAUAUUGUAACUGUUGCUUUAGUUCCCUCAACCUCUGUUGGUGCCAUUCGAUAUAGGGGGUAUCGAUAUGGGCUGUUUGUCAGGUAGCAAAUCAAUACCAAAGUCUAUUUCUCGUACUAGAGGCAAUCCUAGUAAAUCCUUAGGAAAUACAUCAAACAAUUCUCCCACUAUGGGUACAUUUUAUAUGCUAACGGUUUCCUUUCUUGUGUUAUUUAUAAUUGCUAAGAGACACAAGCAACCUUUCUUCAGAAGUCGUUGAGCCUUCAUAAAAGAUACAAUUUUGCAAGUCUUUGGAACUUGACUCCCUCUUAGAAUAAAGUGGGUUCAUUUGGUAUCUCAAACUUAACUAUCUUUGCAUGACAAUCGACUAUAGCAUAGCAAGAAGAUAACCAAUCCAUUCCCAUAAGCAUGUCAAAGUCAAUCAUAUCAAGUACAAUAAGGUCAGUUAGAGUAUCUCUAACCUCAACCUGAAUCUGACAAACAUGAUCCACGUAUUCAGCUAAUAGAGACUCUCCAACACGAGUAGCAACUAGAAAAGGAUCAUUCAAUAGCUCAGGAUGUCUACUAAAUCUCAAAGCAAAGUACGAGGACACAUAUGAGUGAGUAGAUCCCGGAUAAAUCAACGCAGGUGCAUCAAAUGAACAGAAAUAAAGAAUACAUGUAACCACAUCUCUCAAGGCCUGAGCAUCCUGUCUAGUAAAUGCAAAAACUCUCAUCUGACCUCUACCAGCAUUGCCUUGUCCUUGAUUCACAGUAGCAUGGUCUCCAGCACCUAGACCUCUAUUUCCUGUACCUGUAGCACCUGAAGUAUUAUGAGUAGUCUGAGUCGGUGUAGCUGACAAAAUAGAAGCCUAGUUAAAAUUUCUUGGAGGCUGAGGGCAAUCCCUCAACUGAUGUCCAAACUGGUCACACCGAAAGCACUCUCCAGUUAGAACAUGACAUUGGCCCAAAUGUGAUCUACCACAAGUCUGGAGGAAUGGAGUAGUGGCAUAUAUCUGCCCAGAAUUACGAUGUCCAGAAGAUGAUGGUCCCCUAUUACCUUGUCUGUAAUGUGGUCUGUACGUGGACUGUGAAGACAUGUGUGUCCAUAUAUGAGAACCAUGUUGUUAUUGUCCCUGAUUCCCUGCUCUUCUAUUUUCACUAAAACCACCACUGAUGUGGAUUGUGAAGACAUGUGUAUCCCUAUCUAAGAACCUUGUUGUUGUUGUUGUCCCUGAUUUCCUGCUCUUCUAAUUUCACUAAAACCACUGUCACACCCCCUUUUUAAUAAACUCUAUUUAUUCCUCUUAAAUAAAUAAAAAGAUUUAUAAAGCUUGAAAAAAAGGGUUUUAAAUUUUUCAACGUGACAAAGAUCGUAUUCGAAAUGAAAACUCAGAGUCGCCACCUGGCAAUUGAUUUCGAUGUGCCAGGUCCGAUUUUUUUUAAAAAAAUAGUUUUCCUUUUAAAACACUUGGACUCAAAACUAAGUCCGCACCAGAUGUUUGGGUAAGGGGGUUUAUUUGACUCAGGGAGAAGGUUUUAGGAACCCCCCAAGUCCCGUGAAGGUCAGGAUCACGUACUCGAUCUAAUUGGCUUUUAGAAUAUUCGAAUUAAGAUAAAACACACAAAAGAAGAUAAACACAAAGAGGUUUGAGGUUGUCCGUGCCUAAGAUAAAAGAAAAAUAAGAAUAAAAUUAAAUACUACACAAACUCGUCACAGCCUCCAGAAUAUUUACAAAAUAAGGAGAAUUAAAUAAAAGGGAACUUCAACUCAUCGUCGUUUUCAUUUUUAAUAGUGAACUCCCCAGAUCCCCUUAUCAUUCUAUCCAAAUAAACAUAUAAACAGUGGAAAACACUAGCCAAUUAGGCUAAAUCACAAGACCAAAUAGUGAACAUGGAAACAUAUAAAAAUUGAAUAUAAACACCUAAGAGGGAACUAUCCAGAAGGUAUGGGCUAAUGGACUAACUAGUAAAAUAAAUAACAAAUAAAAGUAAAACAGGAGAAUGCCACGAUCAGGGCUGGAAUAUAUGACAAACACCUUGCAAUGUCAUUUUAUUUUCUCAAGGUACUCCUUAAUCCAUAGCUCAAAUCAAACAGGCGCAAGUAUAGACCCCUUUUGUGUUUUAAAUUCAAAAGAAACAAGCCAAUCAUCCUCUCAGGGUCUAUCACUCAUACGCUUAAAGUGGAAGACACAUGAGGAAUCGACAGUGACAUUAUUCACAUUUCAUGUAAGUAGGACAUUAGAUAGGCAACUCAAGGAAAACAAGGACACCUAUCGGAAUGGCACGAGAACAGAAUGAAAUCAUCAAGAAACAGAGCACGUUCACAUUGAGGCACGACAAAUCAGUUGAACGUGCAAACAUAACUCACUCCAAAUCUAUGAGUAGCCAAACUUAAUUAAUCAGAAGAAAUCGAUGGCAAACUAAUCUUAAAAAAACUAAUGGCCUAGAAACUACAAGGACUAGAUUGUUGAAGACAAAAUCAACUCGACUUCAAUUCUAAACCAGUAGUUACACUUCAUCAAACUUCCAUUUAAUCCUUGAACUUAAACAAGAAGGUUAACUGGUUUUUGGAUUUUAUGAUAGGAUUUUAUGAUAGGUUUAAGUAUGAUAUGUGAUUAUCAGUCAGUCUGGGAGGAGAAACAGUGCAAGGAAUUAUGCAGAUUCAAAUCAAAUUGCGACAUCAGAGAAAUCAUGAUAGAAUGAUGGACUAAGCACACACGAACUAAUGGAAUUGACUCGAUUAAGAUUCAAGGAUUCGUUCAGUUUUAGAAAUUAAGCAGAGCUAACCAAGCUAAUAAUAUACAGAGAACAUCAGAAUAGUUUCAAAAACUCAUUUUAACAUAUAAACUCAACCAAACCAAGUAGUAAUAUUCAUGAUAAUGGCAAACAAACACAUUACGACCAACAGUCACAAGACCGAUUCGAGUUUCAUUUGUUAAUCUCAAGAGCCAAUACUUUCCUCUAAUAGUAACCGAGCAUUAGGCAAUUCCUAACCAAGUAAGCUUCAACUCGUAUCUUGUUUCAAUCAACACAAAAAUUAGGGAGAAAGGGAAUCCAAAAGGAACCUGAAUAUGAGCUUUUGAUUAAUCUUGUUUGGAAGCAAUACAGAGAAAAAUGGCGUCAUAAUUCGAGUAUCUGACAGAGAGGAUGCAAGGAAGUAACAAAACAAGUGUAAGAGCCACAAACUUCGGACUCGUCAACUCCAAACGCAUCGAACGAAUUCCAUAAUUUGACCACCAAAUUUCGAAAUUCAAACAGAAGAAAAGAAUAUAUAUAUAUAUAUAUAUAUAUAUAUAUAU